RNAcentral lists this ribosomal RNA (253 nucleotides) under uncultured Actinomycetes bacterium. RNAcentral describes it as "uncultured actinobacterium partial 16S ribosomal RNA". It matches the Rfam family "Bacterial small subunit ribosomal RNA", at positions 524 to 776 of the family's 1533-position model. The record is from RNAcentral. Lineage: Bacteria; Bacillati; Actinomycetota; Actinomycetes.
CACGUAGGGGGCAAGCGUUGUCCGGAAUCAUUGGGCGUAAAGCGCGCGUAGGCGGCCAGAUAAGUCCGGUGUGAAAGUCAAAGGCUCAACCUUUGAAUGCCGCUGGAAACUAUCUGGCUAGAGUCCGGAAGGGGCGAGUGGAACUCCUGGUGUAGCGGUGAAAUGCGCAGAUAUCAGGAAGAACACCUAUGGCGAAGGCAGCUCGCUGGGACGGUACUGACGCUGAGGCGCGAAAGCGUGGGGAGCAAACAGG